This is a long non-coding RNA of Brassica rapa (field mustard), 2672 nucleotides long. RefSeq lists it as uncharacterized. NCBI's taxonomy places the organism in Eukaryota, Viridiplantae, Streptophyta, Magnoliopsida, Brassicales, Brassicaceae. The record is from RefSeq and is a predicted model, not a curated record.
AUGUGUCUGUCAGUUUUGCUAUAACCCUGUCGGCCUCCAUUAUAACGACGAUCCCAGACCCAACCAUCAUUGAUUAGUCUCUAAGUUUCCUUGUAUGCUUCAAAUCAAUAUGAAAAACAAAUAUUCGAACGUUAUAGUCGUCUCCAACAUCAAAUUUUUAACCAAACCAAUGUUUAAGCAAAGCCCAAGAAUUAAGAAGCUUGGAAUAUACUGUGCGUUUUUAUGGCGCGACAUACGAUUAACAAAAAUUACAAAAUGUAAAAUAUUACUAUUGAUUAUAAAUUUCUAUUGCUCUAGUGAAAAAGCUUAUAGCACUUCAGUUAUGAGUUCCGGCGAACUAGAGUAGCCAUAUAAUAAUAAUUUUACCAAACGAAAUCAUCACGAGUAUACGACUGGAAUUAACAUUUAGUCAUCGCCAUGGACAUAGGAUCAACACUUAGCAACAUAUAACUAGUCUGGAUCAUUUCUGUGGGAUGAGAAUGCUCAUGUAUAAUUAAAAAAAAUGAAAAUACUAAAACUCUAACGAUGGGUGGUCAUUUCCAAAACAUACAUUGUGAUUUAAAAAAAAAAACUGUUUGCUUUUGUUAAAGAAAAAUAUAUUUCCUACCAGAAACUGCUUUUAGUUGAUAAUACCACUUGACCGUAGUUUAAUAUAUUACAAUAGUACUAUACUAUGCUUAUUAUCUAGACUAGAACUUAUUAGUCCAAAAAUGUAUGUGUCAUGUAUUUGUGUUGUUCGAUUUUUCGUCUUUACGAUCCGUUUUAGCUUUGGUGAAGUUUCUUGCCUAUGAUUCGAACUUGGUUGUUUCUUCCCAGAGUCGAUCCUGAGUUUUUGAAAAUUUUAUCUGAAAUAAAAUAUUUAUUUAAUUUUUAUCUGAAUAUCAGAAUAUUUAUUUUAUUUUUAUCUAAAUGUUAAAAUAUUUAUUUUAUUUUUAUCAAAACUUGGUUUUCAUUCUUUUAGAAAAAAAAUCAAAGAAACAUUUUAGUAACAAAAAAUAAUAUUUUCCUUAUAUUAAUAGUUUUAUUGUAAAUUAUAUUCAUAUAUAAAUUAUAGAACCUAGAAUAUGUUUGAUAUCUUAUUAUUAUUCUUAUUAAAUUUCUUUUUUUUAUCCUUGCUAAGCUUCUCGAUGAUGUUGUUCCUUUUCUUCCCCUUUGUUUGGGAUGUUUUGUAUUUCGAGUAUUGCCGGUUGAUGUUCUGUUUUUGUCUUCCUCUGCGCUCUCUAGCUACUUCUUAGCUUUCCGGCUGAUUAUGUUUGGUUUGGUCUUGUUUUAUCUCAUUUUUGUCUAAAAUAUCUAUUUGUCCUUAAGUUUCUGUAUGAGUAUGGUGUUGGUAGUUUUUCCAGUAUGGUAAACUUAUGUUUUCGAGUAGUAUUUUUAGUUCUUUUUUCGCCGGUCUUUGUUUAAUUGUAUUUCUUUGUAUCAAUUUUAUUAUCAAAUGACCAAAAAAGUGCAAGAGUUAUGUUUGUAAGCCAAAAUUGUUUUUUUAAUCUUUAUAUCAUUCGAAAAGGAGAUUUCAAAACGAGUUAUAACUCAUGAGCUGGUUCAGCUCAGUUCGAUUUUUCAUGAGCAUCAGCUAUGUUUUUAGGCUCAUUUAAUAAGUGAGGUUAAUGAUCGAACUUAGAUUAGAUCAUGAAUUAUAUGAACGAUCUUUAAUGAACAUGAGCUAACUCAUGAGCUUUGUCAUUUUUAUACUUAAUAUAUAUAUAUAUAUAUUGAUGACUUCUAUUUUUUAAUGUAAGAAAAAAUAGUUUCUAUAUUAAUCAUAUGUAUCUUCUAAAAUUAUAAUGUAAGACAAAAAAGUUAUAAUAUAUAUAAAAAUGUAAAGAUUAUUGAUAGCACUUUUCAUAUCAUAUAUAUCUUUACAAUUAAAAUAUAAAACAAAAUAUUCCUAAAACUCUCAUGCGGCAUAUAUAUUUUUUUUAUUUGAACAGAUGAAAACUUUGAAGAUGAAUCAUCUAAAGACUCUUAUGUGGAAUAAAUUUUGGAUCACUGAUGUAAUUAGCUUUGAUUUUCUUUAUUAUUAGGUGUUCGUUUUAUUUAAUAUUUAAUAUUAAUGUUUUGGAUUUUUAAUAUUUAAUAUUUAAAUCAUAUUAUGAAAAUUAUUUUAUUCUAUAUUUUAUUUAUAUAUUUGAUUGUGAAUUAACAAAUUUAACUCAUAAUCUAGAUGAUCUUAGUUCGAGUUUAUAUAUUAAAGCUCAUAUAAUAAAUAAAGUGUACUGAGCUAUGAACUGAGCUAAGUCGAGAGAGAUAGCUCAUUUUGUCACUGAUCAUUAUUUAUAUACAUGCAAUUUUGUCAUUUUAUUACCGUAAUGUAUACAAACGCGCGCGACUAACCCAUAAACGAGCAAAUUAACAAGGUAAACCUUUUCUCUGAACAACAUCAAUUCAUUAGAGUAGUUUAGGUCGGCUAACAAGGUAAACCAACCAGCAACUUUAACACAUGCUCCACUAACCAAUUAAAUUGAUCAUCUUAAUUUACUCUGUAUUCGUAUACAUCAUUCCUCGCCGACACAUUAACUUGUUAGGUCAAAGACGCCCAUAUUCAAAUGAUGUCGCUAUUUUUUUUUUGUGUAACCUAAUGUCGCUAUUACUCUAUGCAUGUUAUACAUUUUAUUUUAUUAUUGGUUGAACUUUGUUUAAGUAAAUAAUUAAUAAGUUGGUUUUAGAAAAUA